RNAcentral lists this non-coding RNA (26 nucleotides) under Mus musculus (house mouse). The record is from RNAcentral. Lineage: Eukaryota; Metazoa; Chordata; Mammalia; Rodentia; Muridae.
UAUUAGUUAGGGCUAAGCAGCUGGGG